This 34504-nucleotide long non-coding RNA is filed under the name Phoenix dactylifera (date palm). Its description in RNAcentral is "long non-coding RNA (PDAC_LNC001972)". The stretch from base 75 to 187 matches the Rfam family "MIR167 microRNA precursor family". Lineage: Eukaryota; Viridiplantae; Streptophyta; Magnoliopsida; Arecales; Arecaceae. The record is from RNAcentral.
CUCUCUCUCUCUCUCUCCCUCUCCUUCUUGUGUAUUCUCUCCUCUCAGGGCCACUGCUUUGAUGGUAUGUGGUGCACCACAAGCAGCUGAAGCUGCCAGCAUGAUCUGAUCUCUCUUUUUCUUUCUUCCAGAUCUUGGAUGAAGAAGAUGCAUAUCAGAUCAUGUUGCAGUUUCAUCUGCUGAUGGGAGCACCAGAAAACCCUACAACCCUACUCCUUUCAUCCCCCUAAAUCCCUCCUCAGAUUUCCUGAGAAACCCUAGAGAGAGAUUAGAGAUAGCAAAACGGUUGGUCUCCCUUGCUGAUUACUUCUAUCUUCUGGGCGCCCAUAAUUUCACCACUUCUUCUUUUUUUAUCAUGGUUUGUGGUUCUGAUACUGGUGUGAUCUCUCUCAUCUAUGUGACAUGGGGCUGUUUGGCAAGGGAGUGGAGAUGUGCGAAGGAAGAAGAAGGCAGCGGAAGAGAGAUUUCUCUUUGGUUUCUCACACAUGGUUACUGCUUUUGGCAUCCUGGCCUCGGGGGGUGAACCUUGCCAUCCUUCCCUGUGAGUUCUUAUUAUUGGACUUUCUUUCGCUUUCGAUCUUUAUAUAUUUUUGCUCUUUUAACUUGUAGCAUACUUCUCCUAUAACUGUUUCAUAAGGGCUUUCAACCUUGAAGUUACAUAUUUUAAAAAAGAAAAAUUAGUGGCAGUUUCAUAUCUACCUAAUGAUUUGAUCUAUUGUACGGAUUUUGACCUUUUGCUCGCCUUUUUGCUCUCAAGCUCUCUAUCUCCAUAUUCAUGUAUGGAUGGGGCAGCAUGGAUGCGCAUGUAAUCUAUUUCAUUUGUGGAUCUUUCACAUACAUGCUUGCAUUUUUCUACAAUAUUCCAUGCAUCAAUCUAGGGAAAUAUAGCUUAGAAUAUUUAUAGCUCAUCUCCGUCCCCCAUACAUGCAACCUGAAUCUGGAAGUUGAUUCUUUGGCUUCCUUUAUUUUCUAUUGAGGCUUUAAAAAUAGCCAAUGAACAUGGAGAUACAUGCGUUGUUACUGAAAGUUACAUCAACUUGUAUGAGAGAGUUGAUUUGACUUUGUGAAGUGCCGAUGUGAAACAUUUAAGACACCAAGCCUUGGAACAAAUAUCUGCUCUUUUUUCUUUUUCUUAUCAUGUCCUUCUAGGGUUAGGCAAGUAAAAGAAGAAGGUAGAGAUUGCAUCAAAGUCUCUUUUCCUUUUGGCUUCUUUCUUGGUACAUUCUCCUUGUAAUCUUUUUUAAGGCCUUACAAAGAAAUUUCCCUUUCCAGCAACUCUCUCUCUCUCCCCUCCCCCAAAAUUAAUUUAUAGGUAUACAAGUGUUGCUCUCUUCCUCUCCAGCUCAUGGAAGAGCCUUCCCUCACUUCAAUGCUCCUCAUUCAUGUUAGCUUGUUGGCAUCUCCAACCACCCUCCUAUUUCUCUCUCUUAGUUGUUGUGGUACUUUGUCACCUUAUAAUUUUCUUUCUUGGAAGCUUCAGGGACCAGAGAGUCCGAAUAUCUUUUUUUGAUUUAGUUCGUAUGGUACUCAUAUGGCCCUUAACGUCCAUGCCACGAGCGGAGGGCACAUGGAAGCUGUCCUGUUCAUUUAGUGUCUCUUUCCAUGCAGUUUAGAGUCUUGUUCUCAUGAAGUCCAAAACCCCUGCCGCCUUGCUUGACCUUAGCAUUAAAGUGGCCUUGUAAGGCUCCAAAGGUUGCCCUCUCGGCACUGGUUUCACCAAAAGGCCUUGUGUGGUGGUGGCUGGCUUGGGCAGCUAGGCAAAAGUGACGAGUUGAAAGGGAGACAUGAGAACAGUGGGGGAAACGGAGUCCUGAUGAUUAGGGUAAGGAAUCUCCUUUGGAGUAUAAGGCCUAAAAGAGCAAGGACUUUUCUUUUUAGUGAUUAAUAUCAAUAUUGUAUCUUAAUAUUUAUGGCACCUCCUUGAAAAAUUUUUAUAGGCUUACAUAAGAUAACUUAUAGAAUUUCUAUUAGAGUGUUCAUAGAAAUCCCACUCAUAAAACCAAGUCCUAUGAACUCAACAUCGUUUUUGCAUUGGCCUCUCCACAAGUAUAGACAACCGUUAUACAAGGCUAAAUUCUGUAUAGCAUCAGCAAGAGCAUCAUAUCUUAUGCUACGGAACUGAACAUAUCUGUGCAUGAGAAAGAAAUAACAUAGUGCAGAUGAAUUUACCAAAUCUUUUCAAUUCCUAUGAGUAGUUCCUAUUUAGUUAAUUAUAAGCCCACAAGAUUUUGUGCUCUCAGCGAAACAACUAAUAGCAUGAUGAAUGUUCGAAUAUUAUUUUCAUGUCCCAGUCCAUCGAAUGAAGAAUCCGGAGGUCAAGCAGCAGUAGUAGAUUCACUCAUAAGGGAUACAAAGGCAGGAGGUAAGAGCUAAGGUGGUAAAAGCAGGGCAGCAGAGCCCAGGCUGGUUGAUACCAUCAACUGACUCCAGCUUCUGGCGUGCUCAUGGGACCAGUGUACUGGUUUGCCGAAUCAAGAGCUUGUAUCAACAUCGGUAUAACGUUCCACACACAGAAUUAUCUCAUCACCAGCUAACAUGUGGCACAUGAAGAGUACCAGUUCACAGAAGGUAUGGUUUUGUUUAUACUGAUGUUUACGUUGCGGCAGAGUUUAUCUUUAAGUGAACUGCCUUUGCAGGAUAUGAAACAUCAGUAAUCAUAUUAUCUUACAAAAGUAAUGUGUUUUAGGAAUUCUAUGUGCAUGGUAGUGAGAUUGUAUGGACUUUAAGAGAUUUGAUCAGCGACCUAGAGCACUCCUUAUUUGAAGUUAUGGAAACUGUGUUUCAUGCUAUCUUCUAGGGACUCUUUUUAGGAUUUAAGCCAUGUUUCUGUAUUGUUAUAACUAACAACAAAGAUAACUUAAUUGUAAGAUAUCAUCCCAUAUAUGUUCAGUGAUUGGAGACUUCAGUUAUUUAAUUAUNNNNNNNNNNNNNNNNNNNNNNNNNNNNNNNNNGGGCCAAUGUGUGAAGUUGACAGCAAAACAGGCAGGUAUAUAUGAUCUCAGAGUUUCCAGCCAUAUACUUAGGUGUUCACCAGAGUCAAAUUGUUCAGAGGUUAAAUCAUAGAUAGAAUCAAAUUGUUCUAGGCUUUUUUGUUUGGGGCUGAAGCACUGACUUAUCACUAGUUUUGAACUAGUCUAGACAUUGACAUGCACUGAUAAAAGAGGAACAACCAUGACAUUAGUUGAGCUGAUCUGAACAUUAAUUUCUUCCACACUGGUUCAACUGCUUAACUUAUUGAUGAUAAUUUUACAAAUUUUUAUCAUAUGUGUCUUAAAGAGAAACAAGNNNNNNNNNNNNNNNNNNNNNNNNNNNNNNNNNNNNNNNNNNNNNNNNNNNNNNNNNNNNNNNNNNNNNNNNNNNNUUAUAUGUGAUGGUUCGGGAUAAACAAAACAUUGAAAUAAGCAAAUUACUUUUUAGGGGAAUCAAAGGAAUGAUUGAGUGGAAGUUAUCAACAUCCUAUGCAAUGAGCUGCUACAUAGCUAAUUGAUGGUGACAUCAAAUAUUUCACAGAACUUAUUGAAAUUAUUGCAUGGAUAAAUAGAUAUUGUAAUAAUGAGAAAGAAGAUAUUCUGGGGAAAAAAGAAAAAUCACACAUAAUGCAUAGUUAAAAACUAGUUAGGUUGGAGAAAUUGAUUAAACUUGCCUCCCACCCACCCACCCACCCCGCAAAGAAAAAAAAAAGGACACCCACGCAUCCAAAACAUAAAAAAAAAAAGAGAAAAGGAAAUGAAAGGAAAGUAGAAGAAGAAUGAGUUCGACAUAAUUACAAUUUUAAUAUAUUUGUCAAACAUUAAAGAUAGAAGUAGAUAGCAGAAACCUUCAUUUAGUAAUUGGUUAAAAGGACAAAGAUGAAGUAGUUGAGAGGGAUGAAUUACGGAGAGGUGAAGUACGAAUAUGCUUCAUAAUUAGAUUCUCUUUACUCACAGUAAAAUGCUCCCAAAGUUAUGGAGUUGGUAAAAUCUAUCUCAAACAGAAGUGAAAAUGAAAGGAAUAAAAGGAAAAUCAGGUGACCAAGAAAGCUAAUUGAGCCUAACUAUGUAUUUAUAUAAUUUCUGAUGGAGAUGAGCUUCUCUCCUCAACUUCAUAGUUCCUUUCUGUCACCAUUAUUUGUUUCUUUUUUUUCUUUUUUUUUCAGAAUAUGUGAUAAUACAUUGACAAAAAAAAGGCCGUGAAUAGAUAAUUGAAGGGUCUAUAAGAAUCAAGUAAACCUCUCUAAUUUACAUGUAGUUUAACAUCAUAACCUUGUUGGUUUGUCUCAACUUGCAAUUCCGACCCUCCCGGUCUCUAAAAGAAUAUAUAUAUAACUCCAUGUUUAGCAUUAACAAUACUUUCUUUUUAAAACCAUCGGAUAAUCUAAGAAUUUAAAAAAUAACACUUAAAAUCCUCCAAAUAUGUAACAAAUAACAAAAAUUACUAUGAACUAAAGAGGGGUAGGUUCUGUAUUUUUUCACAAAGGCUUGCCUACUUUUUGCAUAUUCUUAUUCCAAACAUAGCAGUAAUAACUUUAUGGUGAAUCAGCAAUUUAACUUACCUUUCUUAUGCAUGAAGAAGCGCUCCCUAUAAGAUCAAAUGACUAAACUUAUGAUAUCUGCAAACAAACUCUCAUCUUCCCCACAAGAUAGUAUUCCAUUUCAGAACAAAGACAUUGCUUCUCCAUGCAUACUAGUUCAAAACAAGUGCUAUAUAUCUCAUAUACUGGAAAUGUCAUCUACUUUUUUGGCUCAAGGCACCAUCUUGUAUUAGUUCUCCCUUGCUUCCUGCUUUAGUUUUUUAAUCACUUCACUUGUCAAGAAAAACAAAUAGCUAACAUUAUCUGAUACAUACUAUUGUGAGGUCAGCGAAGUACAUUUCUAGUUUGAGGAAGGAGACAAUCUCCAAGUUGAGGGACAAGAAUGAGAUGGAAUGCGAGGGGUCUGAUGGGCAUGGACCACUUCCUAAAGGACUCUGGUAGGUCUCGGUUGGUCGACAGCAACAGCUUAACCACAAUAUCUCAAGGAGAUGAUUCGCGGGCCACAAAAGCGUACCUUUUCUGUGAUUUUCCAAGGUUCUUAUUGUUUCCAAGUAAAGAUACAGCUGUGCUCCUCUUCCACUGUUCAUGGGAAAUAAGAGAGUAGAUGUAACGUCUUGUGCGUACAUGAGUAGCAUAUUAAUUGUGGAAAAGCGUUGGGUGAGACCGGAGAAAAGUCGCAUUAUUCCAUCUAACUUCUUUUUCUUUUGCAUUGAUGUUUUAUUUUUGUUAGAAAGAAGUGCAUAAGUUAUAAGGUGCUGCGUGACGAGAUAGCCUUCAGCCAAGACCAGUACUGAACUCCCAACCUUUAUGAAGGAUAAGAAGCUUGAUUUCCGGUACGGGCAAUUAAAGACCUCAUCACUGGCAGGCCCAACUGGCACCUUCAUCAAAAGCAACUAGAGAAAGAAGGUAGUAACUUCAUGGUACGUUUCAUUUAAGAAAAGAAAAAAAGGAGGAAAAAAAAAAGCAAAGAAGCUUGGCUAUGCAUUCAUGUAGGAGAUAAAUGAUAGUAAGGCUAAUCAGACUUAAUGACAGAUAUGAACAGGUGAAUUUGAAAAUGGGUCUCUCUCUCAAAAAAAAAAAAGAAAGAAUAUUGAAAAUGGGUGUCUAUACAUCAACUUGACACCAACAAGUAAUUUAAAACAACAUAUAUAAUGUUUAUGGAGACGCCUUGAUGUACAGAUAAAGGGUUUCAAGAUAAAUGUUUUUUUUCAUUUAAAUUUUAAAAAAUAGGUCUCAGGUUCGGCAGUUUGAAUCUUUAUUUUUGAAUGCUCAUCUCCAAAUUUCACCUAAAUGGAUCUGAUCCUAAAUCUGAUUAAUCUCAGGUAGUCUAUAUCCUAGAAAUAAUAAAUCAUGCGCAAUGAGUUUCUUUGUUUUGGAAUCUCCAUCUGGAUAUGCUCCCAAAACUCACUAAUCUAACUCUAGUCUACCUCUUUGUGUAAAAUGCUUAGAAUUGUGAAUGAGCUUUGAAGCAUUGGUACUUCUUUUUUGUUCUUUUUUGAAGAAACAUGAUGGAGAAAUUUUGAAUACAGACACUUGAGAGUACACGAAAAUUCCUAUCUUACUAUAUGUACAAGUAUGAGAUCUAACAAAUACUAAAAUUUCAUUCUUUUUCUUAUCGUCCAGUCUAUUUGUAUACCAUUCUUUACAAAAAAAAUCUAUAAAAUUCCCACUUUUGUGCCCCUCGAAGAUGGAGACAACUAUCUUCUUCUUCUUUUUUCAAUAUCUCUUAUCCCCUUCCUUCUAAGUCUGAGACAUAACACGACUAUGCUACCGUGGGGUACCAUCCAUGAUAACACGAAGCCAAUCAUAGCAACCUGUGUAAAAUUCCACUAAUACAAAACACAAUAUAGCAAAAGAAUCCAAAUCCAUCAUCCAUUAAGUAAUUAAAUAAUUGUUAGUUCAUAGCAUCUAAAUCUAAAUUUAAAUAUCAAACUCAUAACCUCAAAAUUCAUGAAGUUACCAAACUACAAGUCCAUAAUUAACUAAUAAAUGUAGAAACUCUGCUAAAAAAACCUCCAAAUUUGCUAGCACGAACCCUCCAAGCCUGAAUCAAUUUCUGCACCUAGAGAUCUCACUUGUCUGAAAAGGUAGAAAGGAAGAGUGAGCUACAUAGCUCGGUAAGUAAAUCUUACACUACCUUACCGAAUUAAACAUAAGUUUUAGCAUAAAAUGAUACAUCAUUUACAAAAUUAACAAUUACUGUAAUAUAGAAUAUUUCAUAGUACCAAACGAUAAAGCAAGUUAUAAAGCCAAUCAUAUAUGCAUAAAUCAUCAAUAUUUCAUAGAUAUGGUUUUAGAUGUAUAGCGUAAAUAAAAUCAUAAAUUAUUUGUUAUUUAAAUAUUGUCAUAUAUCAAAUUACUUCUCUCAAAUUAAAUAAUAAGGUCACUAUUAUACCUAUAACAUGAUCGUAAUCAAAAAAAUACCAACUACUAUUAUCCAUUUGUAGGGUUGUAUGCCAACUAUUAUUAUCCACCGGCAGGAUCAUAUGCCAACUACUACUACUCAUUGGCAGAAUUAUAUGCCAACAACUAUUGCCUGCUGGAAGGAUCGUACAGAUUUAGCUCUGGAUGUUAAUCUAACCCCACUUGUAGGGGCCAUAUAUAAUUAUCUAAGAGACUUUACCCAUUUUUUUAAAUAAAUUUUUUAAAAUUAUAUUUUCUCAAAUCAUACAUUAAUAAAAUACUAAAUAGAUUUAUAGAGUUCGUACUUCAAAAAUAAGCCUUUAAUAUUAGAACAACAAUGAAAUUAUUCUUUUUAUAAGAAAAAUACAUAUUUUAUAAAUAUGGAAUUCAUAUUUCAUAAACAAGUCAUUAGUAUUUGAUGAUAAAUCAUGAAUUUUAUAAUAUCGUAUGCUCAAUUCUUAGUUUUAAAACAUGGUAUCAUCAAUAUUUAAUAUUAUUUUCAUAUCAUAUAAAUCAUAAGUAUAAAAAAUAUGAAAAAAUUUAAAAAAUAAUGAGUGUUAGGGUUAAUUACGUUUUUUGUAUUAAACCGGCAAAAUUCACUAUGCCAAUCAUUUGAAUCUUUUCAAAGUCAUAAAAAGAGUAAAAUUAAUUCCUAUUCAAUAACUUUGACGAACAAAAAUCAUAUGGGGUGGGCACCAAAGAAGGAAAUAUGAGGUGGGCUUUAUAUUUUGUCAUAUUUAAAAUCAUAUGACACAAGCAUCAGAGAAGAAAAUAUGGGGUAGGCUUCAUAUAUUGCCACGUUUUUCCUCAUAAUCAUCUUAAAAAAGAAACUCAAAAGUCAAUGACUCCUACUAAUAGAGUCGUCAGUCUUGUGAUUUUAAAAAAAAAAAUUAUAUGGUGCAUCUUUUUUUCCUCAUUUGCCAACCAUACUUUUUACCGGUAUGUACUACAUGGCUAGAUGAUACACAAUAUAGAUUAGUCAUCUAGGUAAAUCAUACACAAUUUUUAGAAUAUUGUGUGUACUAGUAUACAGUACACAACUAGAUGAUACACAUUUGGCAAAUUAGUCAUCCAACAACCCAAUGCAUACCUUUAAGUAAAUUGAUACACAAUUUUCAAAAGAUCAUGUUUACCAGUAUACAUACUACAUGGCUAAGUGGUAUAUACCCGUCGACUUUCUGAUAUAUACUGAAAGCUUCUUUGAUAUGCACAGCAAGCUUUUUUGAUAUAUACUUAAGUAGUGAUCUAAUACUCACAUCUUGAUAAAUUGAUAUGCAAUUUUCAAAACAUGGCUUUCAGUAGUACACACUACAUGGCCAGGUUAUACACACUAAUCAAAUUAACAUCUAACAAACUAAUAUAUACUUCUCGGUAAAUCGACACACGAUUUCUAAAAUAUGAUGUUCAUCGAUAUCAAUACAUAAUACAUAAUUUUCUAGCUUUGUCUAAUAUAAAAAAUUAUACACAUACCAUUCCUUAGAUUUCAUGAACUCUUAGGUGCAAAGAUGCUAGAAAAGAGGGGGAUUUGGAAGAGGAGAAAGUGACUUGGAAAGGAGAAGGAAGACUUCACAAACAGGAGAGACAGCUUGACGAGGAAAAGGAUAGAUGGAGAAGUUUGAUGAGGAAGAAAGAUGAUGCCAUGUGUGAUUUCUUUUUCUUCUUUGAGACUUUUUUUUGUUUUGAUCAUAGGAUUGAUGACUUUGUUGGCAAGAGGUGUCCUUGGCUUUGGGUUUUUCUUUAAGAUGGGCACUAGAGGAAACAUGGCAAACUAGAAAGCCUGCACCAUAUUUCCUUUUUUGGUGCCCACCCCAUAUUAUUUUUGUUCAACUUUGACAAUUUUAAAUUUUUGAGAGUGAGAAAAAGGGAAUUGUUGGCCGGAUGGUGGUGUUCGGUGACUCCAUGUGGGUUAAGUCUAAGCAAUUCGAUCAAUGAAUUAUGAAGCAAUGAUUUGAUUGAGACCAAGCCUAUUCGACAAGGAUUGUCAAUGGUGGGAUUUUGGACAUUUAAUAACGGCCAGGGUGAUGGGUUUGACACGUUGCCCAUGUACCAGGGUGGUUCAUGGUCUCUCAAAUGGGAUCAACUAGGUCCAUAGAAAAAGGGAGAUGAGCCUUUCACUAGAGCUCCUCAAAUCUAUUAGAGAGAGAAAGAGAGAUGCUUUACUACUCGAGGAGGCCCGAGUUGCUGGAGGCCAAUACAUGAUGCAGCUACUAGGCCAAGUCAUGACCCUAUUUUUCAAAGGUAAAUCAGGGGUCCAGAAAGGAGGCCGGGACCCUCCAUUGGGGUCUAUAGACUAGGUGGAGGGAAAGAAACAUAAAUGGAUUUUUUUUUUCUUUGUUAGCAAGAUAGAGAAGGAGGAAGUCUUCUUCUAGAGGAAGAGGAGAAGGGGAGGGGCAGUGGUGGUCCUGCGAGGCAUGGUGGUACAACCAAUGGCCCAACAAUAGGCAAUGGCGAAAAUCAAAUGGAAGAAAGAAAGGAGAUAGCAACAACCGAUGGUGUGUGGUCCUAAGGGGAGGAGAGUUCUUCUUAUAGAAGAGGCUUAGGGCUCCUCUCCUUCGAGAGGCCAUUGUCUCCAACUCCUAUCCGAAGUCUUCAGAGAGGAAGAGGACUCCUAAUGGAAGUCCUCCGCUACCCAUCACGUGCGGCAUACGAUAUGAAAAAUAUGUAAAUACCAUAGAUUCAAUAAUGAUAAUUAUAUCAAAAUCAAAUAAAGAAUAGCAUUACCAAAAUGAUCACCUAAUAUUCCAAUUUGACCAAGUCAAGAUCUUGAAAAAGAAAAUUGACAAUAUGAUUCGAUCUUUUUUUGACUUGUCAAUUCAACUGAAUCAUAAAAGACUUGGCAAAUUUCAGCCAAAUUUUGAUUUUUUUUAAUAAAUUUUUUGAAUGUAUGUCUUUUUAAAUAUAAAAAAUUGUAUGAAUACCUUCGUAAAGCUGCUAUUCGAGUGUCUACUUAAAGGGUAUUUCAGUAAUUUUAAUUUUAAGCCUUUUUAACGACGUUAAAUGGUAUGGAUACAUAAAAAAAGAAAGAUAUACUUACAAAUAGUAAUUUUAUGAGGAUAUUCAUAUAAUUUUGUAUAUUUAGAAGGGUAUACAUGCCAAAAACUCUAAAUAAUAUUAUUAGCAGAUGUAAAAUUAGUGGGAUAAGAUGGAACUAAACCACAAUGUAGCAUUCUUAAGCCAGCUAUUCAAUUUCACGGUUCACCAUAGGAUCACUACAAAAGAAGGAAGAACUCGCGAUGCUUUUUUAUGUNNNNNNNNNNNNNNNNNNNNNNNNNNNNNNNNNNNNNNNNNNNNNNNNNNNNNNNNNNNNNNNNNNNNNNNNNNNNNNNNNNNNNNNNNNNNNNNNNNNNNNNNNNNNNNNNNNNNNNNNNNNNNNNNNNNNNNNNNNNNNNNNNNNNNNNNNNNNNNNNNNNNNNNNNNNNNNNNNNNNNNNNNNNNNNNNNNNNNNNNNNNNNNNNNNNNNNNNNNNNNNNNNNNNNNNNNNNNNNNNNNNNNNNNNNNNNNNNNNNNNNNNNNNNNNNNNNNNNNNNNNNNNNNNNNNNNNNNNNNNNNNNNNNNNNNNNNNNNNNNNNNNNNNNNNNNNNNNNNNNNNNNNNNNNNNNNNNNNNNNNNNNNNNNNNNNNNNNNNNNNNNNNNNNNNNNNNNNNNNNNNNNNNNNNNNNNNNNNNNNNNNNNNNNNNNNNNNNNNNNNNNNNNNNNNNNNNNNNNNNNNNNNNNNNNNNNNNNNNNNNNNNNNNNNNNNNNNNNNNNNNNNNNNNNNNNNNNNNNNNNNNNNNNNNNNNNNNNNNNNNNNNNNNNNNNNNNNNNNNNNNNNNNNNNNNNNNNNNNNNNNNNNNNNNNNNNNNNNNNNNNNNNNNNNNNNNNNNNNNNNNNNNNNNNNNNNNNNNNNNNNNNNNNNNNNNNNNNNNNNNNNNNNNNNNNNNNNNNNNNNNNNNNNNNNNNNNNNNNNNNNNNNNNNNNNNNNNNNNNNNNNNNNNNNNNNNNNNNNNNNNNNNNNNNNNNNNNNNNNNNNNNNNNNNNNNNNNNNNNNNNNNNNNNNNNNNNNNNNNNNNNNNNNNNNNNNNNNNNNNNNNNNNNNNNNNNNNNNNNNNNNNNNNNNNNNNNNNNNNNNNNNNNNNNNNNNNNNNNNNNNNNNNNNNNNNNNNNNNNNNNNNNNNNNNNNNNNNNNNNNNNNNNNNNNNNNNNNNNNNNNNNNNNNNNNNNNNNNNNNNNNNNNNNNNNNNNNNNNNNNNNNNNNNNNNNNNNNNNNNNNNNNNNNNNNNNNNNNNNNNNNNNNNNNNNNNNNNNNNNNNNNNNNNNNNNNNNNNNNNNNNNNNNNNNNNNNNNNNNNNNNNNNNNNNNNNNNNNNNNNNNNNNNNNNNNNNNNNNNNNNNNNNNNNNNNNNNNNNNNNNNNNNNNNNNNNNNNNNNNNNNNNNNNNNNNNNNNNNNNNNNNNNNNNNNNNAAAAGUCUAAUUUUUUGUAGUGGAUCUUGGUCGCAUGGUAACAGAUAGUUUGGAUCAAAUCUACUCUAGGUUAGAUUGGUGCAGUACGUAGGCAGGUUGUUGGCAUCAGUUGGACUCCACCUUCCUCCCAGCCAAUCAUCAACUUGCAUAUUAGACCAGUAAAUAGAACCACGAUCUGACCAAUGAUCGUUUGGAUUUUCCAUAAAUUUGUCAUGUUAUCCCCAGCUGGAAAUUGAUGGGUCGAGUUGGCUUGGGUAUGAGUUCAGAAGCUAAUCCACAAAAGAGACAUGAGUAAGUUUGCAACUCGGAUGUUGAUGGGAUUGUUGUCAGAAGAAGGGUGGCAACUUUUGUCAAGGCAGUGAUCAAUCCAGAAACAACCUAAGCAGUAAAUUUUUGAGUCCUAAAUCUAACCAAUCCAACAUUGAAUCCAACAACCUAACCAAAAUCUGACUUAGAUUUAGAAUAGUUUAAAGAAAUUGUUUCCACCCCAAGAGCAGUUUGGGCUUAACCUUGCAGUGGGUCUCAGCAGCCACUUCACGAGCAGAUCAGUCCAAGGAGCUUUAUAGAAAAUUUUCUAUCCCUGCUGGUCCCUCUUGGUAGCCAAGCUGGAAUAAUUUUUUUUGGUUGCUAUGUUGUUUUCCCAUGAUGGUGAAGGUGCCAAUGACCAUUGAUUUCCUUGCCGCAGGAGUGUGGAGGGAGCCUUUUCUUGGUGUUUGCUAUCUUUAUUUCCAUAUAACCCCCCUGUGGACUGAACUUUUCCUUCAAUGUAACUGAUGGGAAAGCCAUCAUCCGUUUUGAAGAAUCCAAGCCUACUCUUUCUUAUCAUUUUGAUAGUCUAAGGUCAACUAUCAUGAAGUGAUUUUUUUAAAAAAAAAAAGAAAAAGGUUGCAUGCUUCGUAAACCAGAAAGGUCCCAAACUUGGAACAAUGGAUUGCUUCUAUAUGUUGGGUUCUCACACCAAUUCUUUACCCAAGAUGACCUUGACCUCUUAUGUCACAAAUUAUAUGCAAGAGUAUCUGAGAAUUUUAGUUCUUUCUCUAAUGACAUGAAUGCUCUAUCCUAAAUUUCACACUAUUCCAUUAAUCUGGCUUGGUGUUGUGACACAAAUCUUAGAAAACAAAGGAGCGAAAGGUAUAACUAUAAGGACAGCUCAAAAAUUCAAGUAGGGGGAUCUGCCCCAAAAUCCUUUUAUGGGUCAAUGACAUGACAUUGGGCAUAGCAUGUUCCGCGAUAUCAUAUCAAGCUCUAUUUGAUUGAGGAGGAGGCUACCAGUUUAGGACCUGGGAUCAAGAGAGAUAAGUCCGAGCAGAAUGAAGGAUGGGACCCAAAGAGAGGCCCACUAAAUGAAACACUCACCAUAGCAAUAAUGCUAAUUACAUUUCUCCUUCAGAGGUUUAAACCAUCCUAAACUUCAAUAUAGAUUUGUUGGACCUUUGGAUUCCAACAAGAUAACUGUAUAAGAUAACAAAACUUCAAGAUCCUAUUGUAGCACCACUUUAUUCCCAUAGUUUCGCACUCUUGUUGCCUUAGGAUGAAAUCACCCAGAAGAAGAAAAGAGAGGCAGAAGAUGGGAGAGGAAAAGAAGAAUGGGGCAGAGACUAGCAAUCCUAGGUGCAACUUUCAUUUUCCUCGAUGAUAUGCCAUAUCAUGCAAACCAAAACGCUACAACAUUUUUAGAUCUCAACCAAAUGAAACAAUCCCUAGCAAAAAAGAAAAAGAAAAGAAGAAAAAACCACAGUAAAAGUUGUGGUGAAUCAUAAAAUUUCAUCACUGGAAAGCAGAAAACUGACUGAAGAGUAGAGAAAAAGGCAAAACCAAGAUGCAGAGUGAUGGCAAUCAUUCCAAUAUCUAGUAUCUCAAAAAAGUGAAUAUGGUAGAAAACCACUGCCACUCUGGGGGCGGGAACAGAGGGGGCCCUUUUUAGUCACUUUAGAGCACACAAGAAUGUUGAACUCCACUCAAUGAAAUCAGAGGCAUGAUUAGAUUAUAAUCAAAGAACCAAAGGAUCUAGGCCCCUUCAAUGCACCUAGCAGUAGCUUUUUCACCGGGAAACCUUGAAUGAAGGGGAACUAAGGCUUUCUAAGUACCUAGAGUUCAUUGCCCUUUUCCAUGUCAUUUUAAUGCUCAGCCUUAGAAACAUCUCUAGAGCACAUUCAGGCCACAGUCACUACUGACCACAGCCCUUUAAAUUGCAGAGUUUGGAUUAAUAGUUACUAUGGGCAAUGAGAUGGGAAACUCGAACAUAACUGCAUCACAAGGUACAAUUUUCUGUUAGAUUCUUUACUAAUUGACAUCAUGUUCUGUGUGUUCACUUAGAUCAUAUUUUUUAAGGUUCAGCAUCAGAACAAGACAGUGUUGGAGCUAUGAAAACUAUAAACGAAUUGUCAAACUAUUCGAUUAUGUCAAGUAAUGCUGAUGGCCUGAUAGGGUUGGCUGAUCAUCAUGCAGAUGGCAACCAAGGUAAGUUUAUAUUGCAUUUGGCACUAAUUACCUUCAAUUCUUAAAUAUUGAUUAUUUUAGUUCUGCAUUUUUUUCCUUUUAAGCUGCUGAGCAACAUGAUUCCAAGUACAGUAGCGAAUAUUUGAAAGCUUUGAUCAUGUCGAAUAAUGUCAAUGAAUCAAAGUGUGACAAUCAAUCAAAUUUCUUAGUAGAAUUUGACAAUUUAUGUGAAAAGAACAUGUGGUCAGCUUACGAUGACUUAUCAGCAGCAGAUGAAAAUUUGAUUCAGAAACAAACAUCCAAAGGAAGAGGUUUGUACCGACUGAGAUUCAACUACUAUUUUCUUGUAGUUUCUAUUCAUGAUGAACCUUUACAGCAAUUAUUUUUUUUGCUGGAUAAAUCAGAGAAUACAAUCCUGUAAUGGUACUUGUAAGUUAGUAUACUUCUUGCUGUGGAUUAUAUCUCUGCCUAUAUAAUGCAAACAAUUGGUUCAUUGAUUGGACUUUUCUAAUAAAGAUAUGUCAUAGGAUUUUGUACAUGUAAUUUAGAAAUGUAAAAUGGACAGAUCAAAUAGGAAGUCAUCUGGAUCUAAAAAGGAUGCUCAGGCUGUUUGAUUGUCAUGCAUAUAAUUUAUAAACAACUGAUCUGGUCAUAUAGGAAGCAGUUUAUACAUAAAAGUAAAAUUAAUGUGUUCCUCAAUUAUCUACAAUCUCUGGGCACUCNNNNNNNNNNNNNNNNNNNNCUUUUAUGUAUGGAAUUUGAUUGCAACAGAGGAAGAAGAGAUCAAGUCAUUACUUGACACAUUUGUCCAGAAAUGGAGAAACAUUAUCAAUCCCAUCAAUAGAUCUAAAGAACAAUGAACGGGAGGAACCCAACAACAUAACUUAUAAUGAAUCCUCUGCUGAAGACAUAAUGGAACAGAGGACUAGCAAUGAGGACAGUGUAGGAUCUGAUGGAAAGGGUGAUGAGUCAGGAAAUGAAUGAGCAAAAGCACUGUGACCAAAUCCAAGCCAAUAUUAGAUAUUAAUAGUAAAGAAUUUCCAGCAGAUGGGAGUGCAUUCUGUGGAGAGAGAGUUGUGAUAAGCACUAAUGUAGUUGAAGAAAGUGAAGAAAAUGGAGGGAAACAACUUCCUGAAUUUGAUAUAUUAGGAAAUGGAUCUGUGCUGAUGCAACAAAAAAAUAGUUUGUCAAUUGAAUCAAUUCACAGCAUUUAUUUGGAUGCUGUUGACUCUGAAAUUAAAAGUUCGGCUCAGGAAGAUGAUCCAGAUGAGGUUGAAAAAUCACCAAAAGUAAACCUAAAUAAAAAUGGCAUGAGCCUAAAUCUGACUGAUUAUGAUUAUUAUAAGGGGCCAUUAGAAAAAGAAAUAAUGAAGGAUGGCAUCAAAGGUGAGAGUACUGAUACCCAACUUAAAUCCAUAGAUCCCACUCAAGAAGAAAAGCAGGAAAGUGAGCAUGGGGGAUCAGAAGAUUCAGUGUUUGAGCAGGCAGCUCAAGUUGAUGAGACAAAAAAGAUUGAGAGCAGGCAAGAAAAGCAACAAGAUUACAAAUCGAGUUCUAUGUCUGAGGAGCAAAACAAACAUUCAGCUGGAGAGAUAGAGAUAGUGGAAACAGGAGCUAUUGCUUCGGUACUAGAUAAUCCAGUCACAAAUAACAAACAUGAAGAAAUAUGGAACAUAUAAAUGAGGAAUCAUAUAAGGAAAACAAACAUGAGGAAAAUAAAAUCCAUAUGAAAUAAUUUUCUGAAUUCUCCUCAUCUUUGUCAGAUCUUGUUGCAAGUUUGAGUACAGAGACAGAGAUGAAAUCAGAAGAUUUGAAUGAAACACACAAAAGUGCAGAAGGUGUAACUGUUAAAUAUGAAGAAUAGGACAAUGAAACCAGAGUAUUGAAAGACAAUGACAUCACUGGGGAACGAUUUUUCAUGUUGCCUUCAAAUUGGUUGGAUCCUGUUGAUACAGCAAGUAAAGAACUGAUGAAGGAAACAGAAACAGAAAAAAUGCAGGAGAAAAAAAUGAGCAUCUUGUUGAUGGUCGAAUUGAAGAUGUGCCAGAUGCAACUCUGUCUGAGGUGGAACAUGUGUACGGGACAAAUUUAGUAGAAACAGCAGCACAACCUGCACCUCUAACAGAACCAUCCGAUAUGUAAAAUAACUUGAACCAGCCACAUCUUGUUUCUCCAGUCUGCUUUCAAGAAUUUGCAUGGAAACAAACUACAGAGGAAUCUGAAAUGGAUACUAAGAUUUAUUCCUUGACCAAUGUUAGUGAAUGCCUCAAGAUUUCUUCAGGGCUUCCUCCAUACGAGACAUAUCCAUCUCCAAGCCAGACGAAGACUCAAGCACAUGAAGGUUCAAAGGUUUAAAAUAGUGAAUCAACUGUGAAUUUGGCAAUGCAAUCUCAGGUUGAGGAACAAAAAUGCAAUUCCAUGGACCAUGUUGUUGUCCAUGUUUCAACUUCUGACAUCAAAGUUAUAGGAAGCAGUGGGAGAUUUGCCACUGAAUCAAAUCAAGAAAAAGAUCAAUGGAUGGACUGAUGAAACUACACAGGCUGGCUACAGUCUUGAAAAAAACCAUUGUAGAAAGUGCAAUUUCAGCACGACAACCACAGAAAGGAGGUACCAAAGAAAGCCCCCUACUUCCUCCAGCAGAAAGCAUGAAGUGUCGAAUUGAUGCAUCUGAAAGUUAUGGAUAUGAAGCCCAGGGGACAGUAAAUCACACCAAUGCACUGGAAGAUAAGAAUGAAGUAUCCAAGCAAAAUUCUUUGAUAUAUACUGGUAAGACUGCUACAGGUGAUGUUUUGGGGCUUGAAAAAAGUGUCACUGAAACUGAUGAGAAUAUUAGAAGAUACCAAAGCACCAUUAGCCAAGAAAACAUCAGCAAGAUUGAUGCAGGAACUGCAGAUUCAAUGCAUGAAUCGAGCAGUGAAGAAUGUGAUAAGAGCCCACUUCUAUCCCAAAAAAAGGCAAUGGAGAGUGAACUUCCUCCAUUUGAAAGAAGUGACUUUGGGAAGUUGAAAACACGUCUUCUCAGCCUUAUGAAUGAGGAAGCCUCCAUUAUGAAGCCACAGGAGAAAAAAGUAGUACUGAAGAAGGCUUUACAUGAACUAUGGCAAUUUCCUGCCAAGGAAUAUGUGACUACAUCUCCCAGGGGAGGAGGAAAGCCAAGGCCUUGGUCAUCCCUUUUCAGCAACUGAAAGUGCUUCACAACAGCUAUAAAUUAGAGAUAUUUUUAUUUUUUAGUUGCCAUUCUUUGUUAUUCGUUUUCCAAAAGGCAGACUUUGCCACAACAGUAAGGUUGUUCUAUUGUGAUCUAGGAAUCAUGGGUUUGAACCAUAGAGACAGCCUCUCCGCAUGCAGGGGUAAGGCUCUGUAUAUCUAACCCUCCCCAGAAUCUAUAGUGGUAAGAGCUUGUGCACUGGAACACCCUUUUAUUUUAUUCUUUUUUUUGGAGUUUUAGUUUUUGAAUUUAUUAGGUGGAUAUGAAGAGGGUGUAAUAAGAUAUGAAUUGCUUGAGUUUCACAAAUAAGAGAAUCUAGCGAGAAUUUGGAGAGACUAUGUCGCAAUUUUAUUUUGCUGCAAUACUUUUAUCAUUAUUUCUCUCAGUACUAAGUUAUGUAAGGGCUUUAUUUUUGGUGCAAGUUAUAUAAGACUUCUGCUUUGAGGUUUAUGAUCUUAUGAGUCUUUUGAUGUUAUAUCAUAAUUAGGAUAAGUCUGAAUCAGUCGGACCUACAAACUUUUUCCAUUUAUAAAGGCAUAUGAUGCUUGGCAAAAGGUUGUGCUUUAGUAGUUUGACUGAAGAAGAAUUGCCCUACAGUGGUUUAAGACAAAGAUGGAUAACUUCAAGAUUAUUUUUUUGUGAUUACAAGUCUAUAGCACAUCCUUUGAAGAAGUCUAAAUUUGAAAUAUUGCAGACAAGGUUUAAACACAUGUAACAUCUUUCUCUUGGGUGGACUAGUAGUUUUUUUUUGGAGAGUAUGGCUGGGUUAUUAGUCAAAACAUAAUCAGGAGCUGUCAUUUUAAGAAGGUGACUUGGUCAGAUCAUCCAAAAAAUACAGUCCAGAUCCUGUCCUAAUAAUACGAAACUUGAACCGUAUAUAUCGGAAAAGGCUUAAAUGAUGAUAAUGAUGGUUCAGCUCAUUUGGAAUUGUUGGACUGACUGCAUCAAAAUCUUGACCGAUCACAACUGGUUCCAAUUUCAACAUAGAAACUAUGACCAACCCAACAUAAUGCGACAACCAAACAGAUAACAAGAAGUAAAAGGCUUAUAGUUUCAUAAAUUUGCAAUCUAGCUGUAGUAUUUAGCUUUGCAAUGCAAUAUGAUUUUAGAAACUCUGGCGACAUCUUGUUAGUUGUUAUACUGCAACUCUGAUAACCGCAAAGUAAGAUACAAAGAUUAGUAAUAAGAAAUGGCCCCAACUUUUAAAGGCCACUUAUCAUGAGAUAGAAGAUCUUCUAACACUUAACAUAAACAAGAGCUCAUCAUUCAUCUUAAACUUAAAACUUGUAGACCCAACCCGGCUAAUAGCUAAUUAGGAAAUGGGCUGGCCUAGACUAGACAUAGAUUUAAAUGAGUUCAGAAGUUGGCUUAAAUCCCUGACCCAUUCAAGCAGCCGUUGUUCUCCACUCCAAGUUUUAAGUUGGCUCCUUCUUUCUUCCCACCAACUUUCUGAAAUGGUGGACCCGGAGUACUUGGGUGUUUCACGAUGGAAGACCAGCAUUCAUAGACCUAUUGUCAAACACCUAUCGUGUGAUUGAAACACUAGUUGAAUGAGAUUGCCAUAAUCUGGUGUGGAAUCCCAAUUCAAACUAUUGCUAUUGAUAAUAGGAUGCUUGUCCAAUCCAAAUGAAAAAAUAUCGAUGCUAAAUGCAUAUAAGAUACAAACUUUCCAGAACGCAAGAAGUUGGUUUUGAAUCACCUCCAAAUGAGAGGCCCCACUCUGACCCAAAUCACCAGAAGAAAGAAAAUACAUAUACCACAUGCAACUCAUGGAAGAAAGACAGAUUAACUCCCUAAAAUCUUUCCAAGUCCAACCAUGUGGUGCCCAAUAUUAAAAUUAGCAUAUACUUAUUUAGUGGUACCUAAGAGAGGCCUAUAUUUUUGUGCUUGCUAACCUUUGGGGAAGAUACAUCUCUCGGCGUCACCAGAUCCAGCUUCUUAGUUUUGGUGCGUUAAGAGAUAUUGUUUGGUUAUACUUUUUGCUUUUUGACGCACACCGCCGCCGAUCCAAAAGGCCUAAAAGAAACGCGGUGGCUGCAGGUUAUUCUAUCGACUGGUGGAGCGGUGGGACCGACACAGUUCCUCACCUCUUUGAGGCGCGUAAAAUCAUUUCCUUCAAGGUGAUAUUUGCCUCCACUCAAAAGAGCUUGCUAAUAGAUUUUUAGCAAAUCACUUUCAGAAUACAACAAAGUCUUAAAAAAUUUUGCAGAUAGUAAUUCUGAAGAGAUUUCAAGAACUUUCCAGAAAAUUAUUUAAAAACUAAAGAAAAAUAAAAGUCUUUUGACAGAAUUGCUGAAAGUGGAGAAAGAAAUGAAAAUUGCAUACCAAAAUCUAGGACAAGGCUCUCUAUAUAUAUAUAGACUUGAUGCCCCUUUCCAAUUGGUGCAUCUCCUAUUCCACAACAAUGCACCUUUUUGGUGCAUCUAUUGGCAUCAAAACGAUGUACCAGUUGAGUACAACUUUUGCCAAAUAGAUAUUUUAAGUUGCCGCAAUUUCUGCUCUCAUUAGAAGUUGUAGCUGGAAAUUGGACCCGGGGGCGGCCGUCGGCUGAGGAGGAGGAGCUCCGGUGUUGGAACGGCAGGUGGCAGUGGUCCGUCGGCGGGCGGCGUCCUCCGGGAGACCUGCAAGAAGCCGGUGGCCGGAGUUUCCGGCGCCGGCCCUCCGAUGCUUAAGUCAGAGGGGGCUAAUGUGUAGAGGGAGGGAGGAGAUCCCUUUUCUGGGUUUCAGAGUCCUCCUUUUAUAGAGGGGUAUUGUAUUACUUGUGAAGUGACGGGGCAAGUGGUUCUUUCUUGUCAUAAUUGAACACGAUCGUGUGCAUUGAUUCAAUAUUGUGGGAGAUUAGACUGGAGUCAGUGAGUUAUCGUGGCUGAUCAGACGUGGCGAAGUAGUUCAACUGCUUGCCGUGGAGGGCUUGAGAUCCGUAGAUAACGUGCAUUGAUUGUCGAGUGAGCCGGAGAUCAGCAAAGGCCAUAUGCUUUAAUGGUUGAGUGAACCGGAGAUCAGCAAAGGCCAUACGCUUUAUGGUUGAGUAAACUGGAGGCCUGCAGGGGCCAUGCGCUUUAAUGGUUGAGUGAACCGGAGGCCUGCAGAGGCCAAGCGCAUUAAUUGUCGACGGCGGUAGGAGGGUAUGGCCGCAGCAUGUGGUCAACGAGGUCGGCCUUCUGAGGUCAGCUCGGCCUUCCGUGUUCGGCCUUCUGAGCUUGGCUCGGCCUGCAUGAUGAGCUCGGCUCGGUCUUCUGAGCUCGGCUCGGCCUGCAUGAUGAGCUCGACUCAGUCUUCUGAGCUCGGCUCGGCCUUCUGGGCUCGGCUCGGCCUUCUGAGCUCGGCCUGCAUGAUGAGCUCGACUCGGCCUUCUGAGCUCNNNNNNNNNNNNNNNNNNNNNNNNNNNNNNNNNNNNNNNNNNNNNNNNNNNNNNNNNNNNNNNNNNNNNNNNNNNNNNNNNNNNNNNNNNNNNNNNNNNNNNNNNNNNNNNNNNNNNNNNNNNNNNNNNNGAGCUCGGCAGCCUUCUGAGCUCGGCCUGCAUGAUGAGCUCGGCUCGGCCUUCUGAGCUCGGCUUGGCCUUCUGAGCUCGGCUCGCAUGAUGAGCUCGGCUCUGCCUUUUGAGCUCGCUCGGCCUUCUGAGCUCGGCUCGCAUGAUGAGCUCAGGCUUGCUGUCAGAUUUGGGUGCUUUAAUUGUACUUGUGGGGUGGUCUAUUUUUCCCCCCAACACUACCCCCGACUUCCAAGUUCGAGCCGCUUUUUGGCUCGGGCGAAGGAAGUAGUCCAAUCGUCGAUCAUACUGUAAUAUAGCCAAAUAUAUAUGGAGAUGUGCAUGCCAAGCAGGAUGUACCUUUCAUGCAGUUAGAGUUAAAGUGCUUCAGGUCGACUCAGCGGCCUUCUUUGGCUUGUGGUCAACUUAGCAGGGUGCCCCCACUCAGAUCGGGGCGUGUUGUCAUAGGAGGCGUCGAAUGGCGUUUAAAGGCGUUGAAUGGCGUUGAAUGUCGUCGAAUGUCGUCGAAUGGUGUCGAAGUAUCGUCGAAUGGCGUCGAAUAUCGUCGAAUGUUGUCGAAUGGCGUCAAAUGUCGUCGAAUGUUGUCGAAUGGCGUCGAAUGUCGUCGAAGUGUUGUCGAAUGGCGUCGAAGUGUCGUCGAAUGGCGUCGAAGUGGCAUCGAAAUGGUGUCGAAAUGGCGUCGAAAUGGCAUCGAAAUGCCAUCGAGCACUUAGAUGAGCUUGAGAGCGGAAGAGCUCGAGCACUUAGAUGAGCUUGAGAGCGGAAGAGCUCGAGCACUUUAGAUGAGCUUAAGAGCGGAAGAGCUCGAGCACUUAGAUAAGCACAACGGAAGAGCUCGAUCACUUAGAUGAGUAUAACGGAAGAGCUCGAUCGCUUAAAUGACCUGGAGAGCGGAAGAGCUCGAGCACUAAGAUGAGCUCGAGAAUAGAAGCUCAGCUCGAAGGUAAGCAUUAGCUCGAGAACAUAGACGAGGGAGGGCGAUGUUGGAGAUGGAGGUACCUUUUGGAGACAUUUUAACAGCUCCCAAGCUUUGAGGUCCCUCAGGACUUGGCUCAGCACCGGCUGGGAGUCGUUGGAGGCCGUUAAGCGGUACGCAUUGAGCUCUGGGCCGCGCCGCUUCCCUUUGAGGUCGAGGAGCUAUGAUUAUGCNNNNNNNNNNNNNNNNNNNNNNNNNNNNNNNNNNNNNUAACAGCUCCCAAGCUUUGAGGUCCCACAGGACUUGGCUCAGCACCGGCUGGGAGUCGUUGGAGGCCGUUAAGCGGUACGCGUUGAGCUCUGGGCCACGCCGCUUCCCCUUAAGGUCGAGGAGCUAUGAUUAUGCAGGAUCCAUGGCUACCCAAGAGCCCCUUUUUUUGGGGGGGGGACAGGCUGGACCCGAUCUUCUCGCUGUCUUGGUUGGCCAAGAGUUGCGUUGCAGGCCGAGCUGACCCAGACCAUGAGAAGGUUUAACUUUAUAGUACUUUCUUGGGACGGAAUCUCUUGUGAAUCUAGCCAGAGGAGUGCUCAUCCUUUCAAAGGCAUUACAAAAUAAGGCGUCAGCCGAGCUUCCAUUAUGUACUAAAAUACUUUUUAAAGCCUUGCAAUGAUGAAGGAAUAGCUACAGCGUCGCCAUAAAGAGGGCUCAACAUCCUUUUGGUCUUCAUCGGAAAAGGAAACAACUUUUGCAGUGCACGGAUGCUUUGAGGAAGCUCUUUCUUCCGAGCUCGAUGCUUCAGGUAUCCCUACUCGCCCGCCUUCUGAUGAUAUUGAUGAUGCCCGCAAGAGGUUAGUUGUUGUUCCGCUCAUCACGUGGCACUGGGUUUUGUUCCUCAGGCUCUCUCCUGUAGGCAUGAUCAUGGACAAAACAACUCAACCGACCUCGGCGGACAAGUGCCUCGAUCUCAUCACGGAGCUCGUAGCAAUCCUCCGUAUCAUGGCCGCGAUCUCGAUGGAAGUGGCAGUACUUUUUCGAGUACUUCCGCGACUCUGUCGGUCGCAUCCUCAAUGGAGGUCGGAGGUAGCCCUGACCCUCAAUCUCCAUGAGGAUCUCUGUUCGGGUGGAUGUGAGGGGCGUGUAUGUCUGAAACUUUUGGAGGGGAGACCUUGGGCGAGCUAGGCUCUUGGGCCAAGGAGGCUCUUUCUCAUGCCAGGGGAAUCUACUACUUGGUUGGGAGUGCUCCUCCUGGCGCUUCUUUUGCAUCUUGGCAGGUCGUUCGACUGCCUCCCGCCGAGAGGCUAUGGCUUCCUCAGCCUUGGCGUACUUACGAGCUCGGGCCAACAUUUCAAGAAAGUCGGCAAGGAAACUCUUCUCGAUGGAGAAGAGAAAUUUGUAGGACCAAGCCCUAUUCUUCAAUGCCGACAUGGCGAUUGACUAAUUGAGAUCGCGAACCUCCCAUGUGGCCAAGGUAAAGCGAUUGAUGUAGUCUUUUAAGGAUUCUCCCUCCUUCUGCUUGAUAGCAAAGAGGGAGUCUGAGGUCCGGCGCUGACGCCGGCUAACGGCAAGAUGGAUGGCGAGCUGCCUGUCCAACUGUUCAAAGGAGAGAAUCGAGCUGGGCUUUAGUUCGGAGAACCAAAGACGAGCUGCCUUGCGGAGAGUUGCUGGAAAGACUUUACAGAGUAGAGCAUCUGUGUCUCCUUGGAGUGUCAUAAGGGUCUUGUAGCUCUCCAAAUGAUCCAGAGGAUCGGAUGAGCCAUCAUAUGGCUCAAUCUGUGGCAUCUUGAACCUCUGGGGGAUUGACUCAUCCAUGAUCCAUUGAGGGAAUGGAGACUCUGUUGUAAAGUCAAGGUCAGCGUCUCGCUUCGGGCCUCGGUUUUGAAGCAUUUGUAUCUGCCGCUCCAAGUCCUCAACUUUUCUGCCGAGCUCGGGUGGAGCUCCUGUUGCAACUUGGCAUGAGGCAGAUCCUGCCUCAGAUAGGUGCUCCCGCACUCGAGACGUCAGGCUUCGGCGCAAACUCUCAGGAUAAUGGAUGCGCGACAAGCCCUCCCGGCUUGGGGGUCGAGCUCGGUGGGAGCUUCAGUGAUGGCGACGCUCUACAGAAAAAUGACGUCGCGAGCGGCAUCCUGAGGACUCAUGCUCGUGAGGAGGGAGUAAAAGUUGAUCUUCUACUUGCUGUAGGCCUUGGACGGCCACAAUGAGUGCUUGGACUUGUUGAACAAGCAGGUUGAACUGCUCGGUUGGACUUGGGGGACUGGAUCUGCCAGAGGUCUUGGUGGUGAGUUUUGAACAGAGUGCCCAAGGCAUGGUGGGGGAUGCCGUGAGGCAUUGGAGGCUUCUUUGCUUCUCAACUUCAUGGCCACAACUCGGGCCCUUCCACUAGCGCUAACUGUUGCUGGAAAUUGGACCCGGGGGCGGCCGUCGGCUGAGGAGGAGGAGCUCCGGUGCUGGAACAGCAGGUGGCGGUGGUCCGUCGGCGGGCGGCGUCCUCCGGAAGACCUGCAAGAAGCCGGUGGCCGGGGUUUCUGGCGCCGGCCCUUCGAUGCUUAAGUCAGAGGGGGCUAAUGUGUAGAGGGAGGGAGGAGAUCCCUUUUCUGGGUUUCAGAGUCCCCCUUUUAUAGAGGGGUAUUGUAUUACCUGUGAAGUGACGGGGCAAGUGGUUCUUUCUUGUCAUAAUUGAACACGAUCGUGUGCAUUGAUUCAGUAUUAUGGGAGAUUAGACUGGAGUCAGUGAGUUGUCGUGGCUGAUCAGACGUGGCGAAGUAGUCAACUGCUUGCCGUGGAGGGCUUGAGAUCCAUAGAUAACGUGCAUUGAUUGUCGAGUGAGCCGAAGAUCAACAAAGGCCAUACGCUUUAAUGGUUGAGUGAACCGGAGAUCAGCAAAGGCCAUACGCUUUAUGGUUGAGUGAACUGGAGGCCUGCAGGGGCCAUGCGCUUUAAUGGUUGAGUGAACCGGAGGCCUGCAGAGGCCAAGCGCAUUAAUUAUCGACGAUGGUAGGAGGGCAUGGCCGCAGCAUGUGGUCAACGAGGUCAGCCUUCUGAGGUCAGCUCGGCCUUCCGUGUUCGGCCUUCUGAGCUCGGCUCGGCCUGCAUGAUGAGUUCGGCUCGGCCUGCAUGAUGAGCUCGGCUCGGUCUUCUAAGCUCGGCUCGGCCUGCAUGAUGAGCUCGGCUCGGCCUGCAUGAUGAGCUCGGCUCAGUCUUCUGAGCUCGGCUCGGCCUUCUGGGCUCGGUUCGGCCUUCUGAGCUCGGCCUGCAUGAUGAGCUCGGCUCGGCCUUCUGAGCUCGGCCUGCAUGAUGAGCUCGGCUCGGCCUUCUGAGCUCGGCUCGACCUUCUAAGCUCGGCCUGCAUGAUGAGCUCUGCUCGACCUUCUGAGCUCGGCUCGGCCUGCAUGAUGAGCUCAGGCUUGCUGUCAGAUUUGAGUGCUUUAAUUGUACUUGUAGGGUGGUCUAUUUUUCCCCCCAACAGAAGCUAUAACCAUUUGGUUUUCUUGCACGUUCUUUCUUUGCAACACAGAUUGCCAACAUUUUCUAAUUUGAAAAUUAUAUAUUCAAUAGCCACUUUAAAAUAACUAUACGUGAGGUUUGAUCCAGUGUGAUCAACAAUUAGUAAACUAUGAAUUUACUCUUUUUAUAUUACAAUCUAUUAUAUUUCCAACAUUGUUAGCCUUAAUCCUUAGAGAGUCCGAGCGAAAUAAGUUUCUGAUAGGUAUGUAAGAAUCCAGCCUAAUCUAAAAACUCAAGAUCUUAUUUGCCAUGGUUGUCAAUUUCUAAUUUUUAUUUUGUAAAAUACUAUAAAAAAUUAACGCAAAAAUAGAUAUUUGAUAAUUUAAUUUUUAUUUUUAAUGUUGCAAUUAAUUUUUGAAAAUUAUAAAAUUAGACAAUGAAUGUUUGACUUUUCUGAAAAGUGGCAACCAUCUACCACCACCUACACCCUCUACCGGCAAUUGCCAUCUCUAUCUAUUGUUGGCUAUCGUCGGCCACCAUUUACUAUUGGCAACCAUUGUUGGCUACCAUUCUCCAUCACCACCAUCACCCAACGCCAUUAUCGUCGAUCAUCCCAUGUAGUUAUUUGCUAUUGGCCAUCACCAAUCUUGUGUCACUAUUUCCUGCCACCCACCAUCCUCGAUUGCACCUUCGGCCACCGCUAUUUCCUUCCGGCCAUGAUCACCAUUCUCUCCACCACUAUUUUUAAGAGAGGAAAAAAAUAAAGAAAUUAAUCUCAAUUUUUAAAAAUAAAAACUGAAAACCGGCAACCAUGAUAAACACGCUACCUAAACUACAAAGUUUAAACCUAGUCAUAUAGAGCAGUUCUAUUUUUUCUUAUAUUGUUCUAUUUUAUAUAGAACUAAAUUUCACAGGUGACUUGUAGACUUGAGCAGGUCUUCGCUAGAGGGGCAAAGAGUUUCUAGAAAGGGAAAGGGAGAACAACUUCGUCUAGGCUGAUGCAGAGCGAAAGAAACUAGAAAAGAGUCGUGGUCAGACUAGAACUCGUACUAGGCCCCACUUCCUAGCCAAAAAAGCUGGAAUUUUGGAUGCUUCUCCCUGUAAGUUGGCUGGGUCUGGUGAACUACCCCGGAGGCCGGACCUUGAAACACUAUCCCAUCUGACUUCACUUUCUCCUUCAUCCUCUACAGCUUUAACUUUUUCUCGAUUUCCAUUUUGAUGCCUCCAAUUAAGUUGUUAAGUGGCUUGGCGCAUACUUUUUGGAUUUAAUUCAAAUUAGUUGAAUUUGUUCACAACCUGUUGCCUAAAAAAAAAAAAAUCUUUCUUAAUUUUUUUUUCUUGUUGCCAUAGUUUGAUAAGAAUCUGGUAGUGAUUUAUUCUUAUUCCAACUUUCUAAGGCAGUCUGAUUGAAAGGUAGAGAGCUGAUCGAAUUGCAGCUUGAUCAACUCCAAAUAUUGUCCGUAGAUGAUCAAUUAAUUUCAGUCUGUUUUAUAAGAUUGGUAUUCUAUUUAAUAUGAUGCUCUAAGCUUUAUUUAUGGAACCUUCGAGCAAUGUAUUUGAUACCAGUCUCUUUUUUAAAAAAAGAAAUUUGGAAGUUCUCUCAUAAGCCAACAAUUUGUUGCGACAUUGUGUACUUGCUAAUCUGAGGAGAUAAUCCUUUGACUACUAGAUCCAUUAACUAAUGGUGCUAGCUAGGAUGUUCCUUUUUUUAUAUAUAAAGAAAGAGAAUUAGGCCGGCCCACGUGCCCUAAUUCUUCAAUGGUAGGUAAGCUCCUCUACUUUUUAAAAUAGUUACAGAAGAAGAUGAAGAGGAAAAUGGAAGGAAAAAAAAGAGAAAUAAUUUUAUUUCUCUAUUCCAUCAUAUUCGGUACAUCUCAGUGUUAUAUAUACUUCUGUACAGACUCCAUACAAGAAAAAUAGUAUAGGCUGAUAUAGGAUCACAUAAAUAAUAGAAAAUAUUACUGACUCAUACAAGUUAUUAGGUGAUUCCUAAAAUCACUCUAACAAGAUCAUGCUAAUAAAGAAAAAUAAUAUAGGUUUGAUACAAAAUCACGUUAAUAAAAAAAAUAUUAUGGACGAUGUAGGUUGUUACAUAAUCUCUAAAAUUAUGCUAACAUCCCUCCUUAAAUUCAAGAUGGUACUAUAGGUGCCAACUUGAGUUUGGAAAUUAGAUCACUAAUGUACCGAAAAACUGACGUAUUAGAUGAAGAGCUGGAAUAGUAGCUCAAAAGCUGAUGUGAUCGAUUAAGAGCUGACAUAGCAGCUCAGAGAUUGAUAUGAUGGUAGAUUAAAAGCUGAUAUGGCAGUAUAGAGCCUGAUGCAGUAGAACACAAGCUAUUAUGGCAAUUCAGAAGCUGAUGUAGCAAAUUGAAGUUGACAUAAUAACUCAGAAGCUGAUAUAGCGAACUGAUGUCUCUGACUAAUAUGACAGACUGACAUGUCUGUCAAUGUGGCUGAUUGAUUUGUCUAAUGAUGUAGCAGCAAGAAGACACAUAGAAAAUGACGGUUGCAGCAAAAACAAAGCUUGGAGAGAAGGCUAUCAAAAGUCGAUAAUUUUCGUAGACGGAGGCAUCAUAGAAGAGGAGCAAGAGACCCCGAAUUAGAUGGUGAAGGAGCCGAAGGCAACAAAUAAAAUCGAAGAUAGAGAGAAGGGACCGAGCUACGGUAAGAAGAGACAACUGAAGAUCUGAAACUGUGAAAAAAAGUGGUAGAGAGGAGCUGCGGAUCCAUUAGAAAACAUAAAAUCCUCGGGUAUUAAUCUACCAGAAAUAGAGGAUAUGCGGAGAAAAAGAGGAUCUGCAGAUCCACUAAAAAAUAGAGGAUCUUUAGGUGUUGAUUCACCCGAGAACAGAGAUCGAUAGAGCGACAAAGGAGAUUUUCAAAGCUUCUAGACAUAGCAAUGACAGCCACAACAAAGGCAGAAGAGAUGCCGACGGCAGAUUAGAUGAUCAGUGACUCUGAUACCAUGUUAAAAUAUUUACAGAAGAAGAGAAAAAUGGAAGAAAAAAGAGAAAAAUGAUUUUAUUUCUUUGUUUUAUCAUAUUCAGUACAUCUCAAAGGUUAUAUGUACUUGUGUACAAACUCCAUACAAAGAAAAUAAUAUAGGUUGAUAUAUAACCAAACAAAUAAUGAAAAAUAUUUUUUUGUUUUAUCAUAUUCGGUACAUCUCUAUAGCAGCCGCCUGCUACAAGUCCUCGUGCUGGAGCAAUAGAUUACUAAGUUCUCUAGCAUCAUCGCAUCUUUCAUAUGAUGCCUAAGACAGGCCAAAUAGAAACCCAUAGGCAAAUACAUUGCUGAUAAUAUAAAAUUGUAUAACAAAAUUAUAUCAGAAGAACCCCACUGCCUUGAAGAAUUAUGCUUGAGAGCGAAACUAGCCAGGGAGCGAAUCAUUAAGUUAUGCUGCCUAUUAACAUGAGAAAUGUGAAGAUUGGUGAAGCAGCAUUUCCAGUUCAAACAAUUAUUUAAAAUUAUUCAAGUAUUCAAUGAAACCAAUAAUAAAGAAAAUAAGGGUGACCUCAGAUCCACCCAGGAGGCCAGUUAAGCUGCCCGUGAAGUCUCUAGCCCUCUACCAGGAUAUCUAAGGAAUAUAUCAUCAUGCUAAUAAAGAAAAAUAUCAAAAACCUGUGAAGGAUUAUUUUCUGAAAAUUUCAUGGAAUCAUGUGGACUUAAAAAUCGUCGAGCAUGACUUCUGUAGAAGUAGUUGUUGUGCUCUCUUUUUUGACAGAUAUCUCUUCCCUUUGUAUCAUUUCUCCAUCACAAUAUGCAAGUAUCGCACGCAUUUGUUUUAUAGAAUUGGGCAAAUCAUUGUUUGCACCAGUAGGUAAUUUGAUCGAACAUGUAGAUAAAGUGGGAAGAGGAAAAAUAUCGACAUUUAUGAUUAGAUAUAGAAAAAGGCCAGUAAAAUGUAAAGAAUUGUCAUUCAGUUAAACAAAGAUAUGAAGUUUAGAUGCAACAUCUUCAUCAUCUAACAUAUAAGUUAGGUGGCCUUCAUCAUUCGCACAAAUUCCUCGUAGUUCACUUGUCCAUCACCAUCCACAUCUGCCUCCUUAAUCAUUUGAUCAACCUCUUCAUCGGUCAAUUUCUCCCCGAGAUUAAUCAUCACAUUCUUUAGCUACAAGCACAAAAAAAAAUCAAACAAAUAAAUAAAUAAGUUUUAGAACCAAAUACUACAAAUGAAAGCAUUAAAUGAACAUAACAAUUGACUUAUUCAGAUAUAAUGCGCAUGGUGAGAUGCACUUUCAAGUUCUUAGCUGUGUACCAGAUCUUGUUAAAACUGAUGCAAGUGAAUAUUGUUGCUAAUUUUCACACAAGCACAUGGAACUGUGGUUUAUCUCAGCUUAAAAUUACAAAAGGCAUGCAAAGAAAAGAUAGAUGGAACAUUGUAACUAUUUUAAAUUUACCUCACUGGCUGAGAUAUAUCCAUUUUGAUCCUUGUCAAAGACCUUGAAAGCUUCUUUGAGUUCCUCCUCUGCAUCAGUCUCCUGCAAGGAGGGUAAUACUAAGUGUCAAGUCUUUGAUUACCCAAAAAAAUGUCAAGCUCUUCAUGAGGGUAACGACAAGCAGGAGACAGAGAUCAUGUGAUCUCUAAUAUGGCCAAUCAGAGCAGACAUUAGUAUAGUACAUAUUGGAUGUGUAAUGGUUUAAUUAUAUUAUUUUACCUUCAUUUUUCUUGCCAUUAGACUCAAAAAUUCUCCAAAUUCUAUGGUUCCAUUGCCAUCUGCAUCGAUUUCUGUAAUCAUUUCAUGCAACUCAUCUUCAGUAGGGUUCUGGCCCAAUGAUUUGAUGACGGUGGCAAGUUCUUCCAGUGUGAUGCACCCUGCGGUUUAAGCAAGAAGCAGAAGAAGCCAUUAAUAAUCAUAAUCCUCCUAAAAAGAGCAUUGACUGCCUAAUGAGUUAUUAGCAUGGUGUAUACAUAUGAAAGUUUUAUCUUAUGAAGAUCAUAAUGGUCAUCUCCUUUUCUCAAUCAUUCUCCUGAGGAAAAGACAAAUUCACCCACAGUCAUUUACCUCAUGCUUUGUUCUUCUUGUCAAUGGAACCAACAUCUCAAAAACUCUGGUAGAAGGAUUAUUAGGCUUCCAUCCUAACUAAAGAUUGUCUAGAAGAUUGAUAAUAUAACAAUUUGCUAGGUCUAAUUAGGAUUGUUCAAAGCUUCUGGCUUAGCCGAUUGAUAAAGUCUCUCGGUGGUCGUAGCAUGGAGUUACAUUCCUACAAAAAAAAAAAAAAGUUGUAAAAUGGACUUUUAUCCAAUAUCCAGCUCCAUCAAGGUGGGGAGGACAAAGAAUAAUAUUAUUAAUUUUAUUAUUUAUGAUAAAACCUUGCUUGUAGGUUAAAAAAAAUCGACAAUAAUAUUAACAAAGAACAUCAUUUGUGUUUUGUGGAAAUUUCUGUAGCAUACUUUUUUGUGCUUCAAUUCUACUGCUCGAUCGUGGUCCAUCGACAACAUCUUAGUUGGGUGGCCAAUAAAAUUCUUAAUGAUUUGGCUUCUAGCUUCCCAAAUCCAACUCGGCGUGAUGGCUUAAAAAACCAACCAUCUAGGCCACUUAACAAUCUCUAUUGUGGUGGAAAUUUUUUAAUUUGACCAAUUCAUGGCCUCUAGCCAGGUCUAAACCAUCCAAGAGACUAACAACUUCUAAUAGACUCACUCCAGCUCUCCCCUUACACUUUUUCUUUCUCUCUGAAAGAGAAGUGGCGUACAAGGACUUCACACAAGUCCACCAUAGACUAGAGACAAGACAAAAGCAAUGGAGAUCCAUGCUUUAGCAUCAUAUACAAAACAAAAAAAAUGCUAACAAACACAGGCACAUAUCAGAAGAACGAAACAUUUUAUCAGGAAAACUAACAAACUGAUCAUAUCUCAGAAAAAAAAAAAUCCAUUGUAGUUAAUCCCCAUUUUCUCAACUAAAGAAGAUACCAGGCUCUCUUAUCAACCCCACAUUUACAUAUCAGACAAAAUUAACCACAAAAGACCAAAGUUAACAACUGGAGGGCAAGAUAAGAGUCUAAAACAAGAACAAAAUAUUCAUUGAAACUAAACCAAAUCAAUCAACCCAGAGAGAAGCCAACAAGAAUUCCCUCUCGAAAAAAAAAAAACAAGAGAGAGAGAGAGAGAAGAACUAACCAUCUCCAUCCUUGUCAAAGAGGCUAAAGGCUUCCUGGAACUCAGAGAUCUGCUCCUUUGUCGGGCGAUCCAUAGCAAUAUAAUCUAUAGCCAAAAGAGAGCUAACGAAGAAUACCUUGUAGGGGGGAAGGCGAUGCAAGAAAACCGAAUACCAGCGCUGGGCUUUUGUAGGCACGAGGGAGGAGUUAGAAGUAUUCUGGACGGCUGACUUUUUUUUUCAAAUUACUCCUGGUCAAAAGUCCUUUUCAAAGAAUCCAAAAGGAAAUUACAAAGAAUAUAAAUAUUAGAUUUUCUUAUCCAAUAAUUUAUCUAUGUUUUAUUUCGAUCCUUUGUCUGCUGCUUUCCACCCUAAAGGGCGAAUUUGUUGGCCCAAACGGGUGCAUUUGUUUCCAGCCCCGCAACCCGGUCGGUCUGACCGUGAGUCUGUGACCUGAUGUCCCUUUUCUUAUUUUAUUUUUUUAUUUCCUUUUUGUUUUCUUCUAGGCUUUAAUUUAUUUUCUCAGUGAUUGCCCUGUGAUUUUCCAACUGUGGACAGCUGGUGUUGGAUUUUGGGAGGACAGAGGAAAAGGCAACUUGGUUCUCGAGUCAAAAACAAAGCCCUAAAUAUUUCUUUUACCACGGAAACAACAAUUUAAUUACAAAAAGUUUAGUUUGUUUGAACCGGUAUAAUAGUCAUGAGUCCCUUGAACUCUUAUAGAUUGGUGCCUUAAUUACCGUAGCUUCUCGCCAAAUUAUUGCCAGUGUGAAUAAUCUCUAUCAUGCUUAUUGGGCUAUGCAUGAGACUUGUCGGACCACAAGGCGGCAUGAAUAGAGAAUUUGUUUUCUAAAAAUUUGUUCGAGUGAUCUUCACCGAGUGAAGACUCGAAAACUCCAUCUUUGGAGUUGUAUGGGUUCAUGGUAUCUAAUAAUCACCAUCAUGCCAACCACAACCAUGAAUGAAGAACCGAUCCUUUCAUGCAAGUCCAAGAUCCAUAUUCCAGCAAAAUAUGCAUCCCAUUGGAUUCAUACCUAAAUCCGAAAGAAUUGGUUGGUUCUUCAAUCAUAGCUUUUCUGUGAUUGACACGAUAACCGUGAUUGAUAUUAAGUUGAUAUGAACUAAAUAGGAUUUUUUAUCGAGUUUAGAUGCUUCUAGUUUGUACCUGAAUUCGCCAGGGCCAUUUAUUUCAUCACAAUCGUCUGCAUCCUCUCUAAUUCAGGUGCAAAUUGAAAAGGAUUCAAACUCCUAACUUAGUAAUAUUGUUACUCCUAACCUUGUUAUUGGUAUGAAAUUGAUAAAAAAUGCAUGAGAUCAUCUAUCUUAUACCAAUACAAUUUACCGGUUGGUUGGUAAUUGGCUUUGUGGCAUCCAAGCCUGGACUAAGACCACCUACCCCAUGUAUGCACACUAAAAUUGAACAGUGAAUAGAUAGGUGAUUUGGUAGUAAUAUCAAAUUGACAAUUGUUCUCCUAUCUUUUGCCAACGCCCUCCUACAAAAGCAAAACUAAAUCAAAUAAAUUUACUUGGAAGAAAAAAUCUUUUGACCAUGAUCAGCAUUGCUGAAUGGCAAACCACCUGCGACUCUAGAAAGAUCUCCAUUACGACAACCCGGGGACUAUAGUGAGAGAAAAGUGCAUUAGGAGAGUAAAUUGGGAAUUAGCCAUAUAUGCACUCCAAUGACUUUGAAAAUUCAUUUCCUUCCAUUCAACGAAUGGGACAAAGAUGAUAUAUAGCUGCUAAAAGAGUCAUUCUUCCAAUUGCCGCUUAGAUCACUAAUCUCAUGUACUAGUAUUUGAUUACCAUCAUAUAACAUACCUAUGCACCGUGGUCCCAUGGAGCACAUCUAUCCUUGAUUGCUACAUUCGAUCGGCGACGAUCUAAGCAACGACUGAAGGGACGACCUACACCAAUUCUUAUCAGGACUCUAAAAUCUUGACCAGUUCUAUUUGAAUUAUUCAAACAUGAUGAACGAGUUUGAUACAGGGGAUCAAAAAGUGCUCCCCUGGCUGCUUAUCGAAAUCCUUGUUUUAUUCUUCCACUGACCUGCUUUAUUGCAGUGCUAAUCUAAAUUUAGCAUAGCAUGCUCUCUUGGUUCAAUUUUAGUCCAUUUCAUGGACUCAAAGAUCAGACGGUCAUGCAGGACAACAAUCAAUGAGAUCCAUAGGAGACCCGUUCCUUGGAUGGUGGACCCAACACGGCAUGGUGGUGUACUAAAUCGCUCACGGGUCCACGUGUCUGACCAAUUCGGGAAGUUUGAUCCGGUCGUCCACGGUCUCUGAUGAGGCGCGUGGCGUGAGGGUGGAUGCGAGACACGGUGGACCGAUCCAUCAUCAUCAUGAUGGGAUCGGGUAUGGGGCCCUGAUCCCUCUAUAGCCGGACGUAAGGGCUACUACCGUACUAUCUCGAGCGAGAAAAUGAGACGGGAAAAUAACUCGGUAUAUCGCACGGAUCUAAAAGGUCGAACGGUGCGAGGCACGUGCGGAGGCCAGCUGGCAUGCGCUGGGCGGGCUGACUCGCUGCGGGCUCUGCGCAGACACGGACAGCCGGCUCUCACGUGAUGCGGCACGCGGUUUCUCUCGCGUCAGUGGUUGACUUUUCGGCCACGUGCGCUUGCACGCGUUAAACCAUGGGUGCAACUCGGGCUUGUUGAAGAACGAUAGCUUGCUUUGACGGAGCAGAAGCACCACCACGUUUAGGUUGAAUGCUUGUACUCCAUCAAAUCUAUCCCAACCGCUCAAAUUAUUCUUUACAACCAGGGGCGGCUCAAUACAUUCCGGGGCCUAAGGCGAAUCCAAUGAACGAUGCCUUUUUUUUAAUAAUAAUUUUUUUAAUAAAUAUAAAAUACUUAAAAAUAUAUAUGAAAAUAGAUAGCUAUCAAGUACACUAUUUCAACAAAGAGACAUGAAUCUAACAAAGAUAGACAAGAAGCCUUUUCAAUUUAAUAUAAUUCUUGAAUGGAAGCACAUAAAAGUAAUUACUCUAAAUGAAGGGCCAUGAAACUGAUUAAAUAACUGAGAUAAUGCUUGGCAAUGCUGUUUACCAUGUCAAGCAAGAGCCGAAUAGGAAAAGGUCAUCCCAUGGCACUUCAUGGUCAAGGUCAAGAAAAGAAUUUGUCCAUAAAGGAACCUCUCUAUAAGAGAAAGUAGGGUCAUUACGGAAAAUUCACUCCAUCUAAUUAAUAAAAGUCCCGUCCCACCAUCUCCCCUUCAAGUGAGUACCCAAGCAGCAACUGCAACAUCACAGCACGGCAGCCAUUCAACCCCCUCCCUCCGUUUCUCUCUCUACCACCCAAGAGGGGAGAAGAAACUGAGAGGAGAAAACUAAAAGAAUCUCCACCCUCCAAGAAGUCCAUCUCCAAUCCCCCUAUCUUUCUUCCGGAUGGCCCAGGUGGAUCAGGAGUAAUGUGAGGGAAGGAAAACCAAGACCAAAACCAAAAAAGAGAAGGGAUGAAAGAUAAGAGUGGCUUCAGGCGUCUAUCAAGCCAACCAAAUCCCUCCUCUCUCUCUCCCUCUCCCCACCCAAAACAAAACUACUGUCCCCAACAUCCCAAAUUGCCCCUCUG